Ribosomal RNA from Pseudomonas aeruginosa PAO1, 2891 nucleotides. It matches the Rfam family "Bacterial large subunit ribosomal RNA". The record is from Rfam. NCBI's taxonomy places the organism in Bacteria, Pseudomonadati, Pseudomonadota, Gammaproteobacteria, Pseudomonadales, Pseudomonadaceae.
GGUCAAGUGAAGAAGCGCAUACGGUGGAUGCCUUGGCAGUCAGAGGCGAUGAAAGACGUGGUAGCCUGCGAAAAGCUUCGGGGAGUCGGCAAACAGACUUUGAUCCGGAGAUCUCUGAAUGGGGGAACCCACCUAGGAUAACCUAGGUAUCUUGUACUGAAUCCAUAGGUGCAAGAGGCGAACCAGGGGAACUGAAACAUCUAAGUACCCUGAGGAAAAGAAAUCAACCGAGAUUCCCUUAGUAGUGGCGAGCGAACGGGGAUUAGCCCUUAAGCUUCAUUGAUUUUAGCGGAACGCUCUGGAAAGUGCGGCCAUAGUGGGUGAUAGCCCCGUACGCGAAAGGAUCUUUGAAGUGAAAUCGAGUAGGACGGAGCACGAGAAACUUUGUCUGAACAUGGGGGGACCAUCCUCCAAGGCUAAAUACUACUGACUGACCGAUAGUGAACCAGUACCGUGAGGGAAAGGCGAAAAGAACCCCGGAGAGGGGAGUGAAAUAGAACCUGAAACCGUAUGCGUACAAGCAGUGGGAGCCUACUUGUUAGGUGACUGCGUACCUUUUGUAUAAUGGGUCAGCGACUUAUAUUCAGUGGCAAGCUUAACCGUAUAGGGUAGGCGUAGCGAAAGCGAGUCUUAAUAGGGCGUUUAGUCGCUGGGUAUAGACCCGAAACCGGGCGAUCUAUCCAUGAGCAGGUUGAAGGUUAGGUAACACUGACUGGAGGACCGAACCCACUCCCGUUGAAAAGGUAGGGGAUGACUUGUGGAUCGGAGUGAAAGGCUAAUCAAGCUCGGAGAUAGCUGGUUCUCCUCGAAAGCUAUUUAGGUAGCGCCUCAUGUAUCACUCUGGGGGGUAGAGCACUGUUUCGGCUAGGGGGUCAUCCCGACUUACCAAACCGAUGCAAACUCCGAAUACCCAGAAGUGCCGAGCAUGGGAGACACACGGCGGGUGCUAACGUCCGUCGUGAAAAGGGAAACAACCCAGACCGCCAGCUAAGGUCCCAAAGUUGUGGUUAAGUGGUAAACGAUGUGGGAAGGCUUAGACAGCUAGGAGGUUGGCUUAGAAGCAGCCACCCUUUAAAGAAAGCGUAAUAGCUCACUAGUCGAGUCGGCCUGCGCGGAAGAUGUAACGGGGCUCAAACCACACACCGAAGCUGCGGGUGUCACGUAAGUGACGCGGUAGAGGAGCGUUCUGUAAGCCUGUGAAGGUGAGUUGAGAAGCUUGCUGGAGGUAUCAGAAGUGCGAAUGCUGACAUGAGUAACGACAAUGGGUGUGAAAAACACCCACGCCGAAAGACCAAGGGUUCCUGCGCAACGUUAAUCGACGCAGGGUUAGUCGGUUCCUAAGGCGAGGCUGAAAAGCGUAGUCGAUGGGAAACAGGUUAAUAUUCCUGUACUUCUGGUUACUGCGAUGGAGGGACGGAGAAGGCUAGGCCAGCUUGGCGUUGGUUGUCCAAGUUUAAGGUGGUAGGCUGAAAUCUUAGGUAAAUCCGGGGUUUCAAGGCCGAGAGCUGAUGACGAGUCGUCUUUUAGAUGACGAAGUGGUUGAUGCCAUGCUUCCAAGAAAAGCUUCUAAGCUUCAGGUAACCAGGAACCGUACCCCAAACCGACACAGGUGGUCGGGUAGAGAAUACCAAGGCGCUUGAGAGAACUCGGGUGAAGGAACUAGGCAAAAUGGCACCGUAACUUCGGGAGAAGGUGCGCCGGCUAGGGUGAAGGAUUUACUCCGUAAGCUCUGGCUGGUCGAAGAUACCAGGCCGCUGCGACUGUUUAUUAAAAACACAGCACUCUGCAAACACGAAAGUGGACGUAUAGGGUGUGACGCCUGCCCGGUGCCGGAAGGUUAAUUGAUGGGGUUAGCGCAAGCGAAGCUCUUGAUCGAAGCCCCGGUAAACGGCGGCCGUAACUAUAACGGUCCUAAGGUAGCGAAAUUCCUUGUCGGGUAAGUUCCGACCUGCACGAAUGGCGUAACGAUGGCGGCGCUGUCUCCACCCGAGACUCAGUGAAAUUGAAAUCGCUGUGAAGAUGCAGUGUAUCCGCGGCUAGACGGAAAGACCCCGUGAACCUUUACUGUAGCUUUGCACUGGACUUUGAGCCUGCUUGUGUAGGAUAGGUGGGAGGCUUUGAAGCGUGGACGCCAGUUCGCGUGGAGCCAUCCUUGAAAUACCACCCUGGCAUGCUUGAGGUUCUAACUCUGGUCCGUAAUCCGGAUCGAGGACAGUGUAUGGUGGGCAGUUUGACUGGGGCGGUCUCCUCCUAAAGAGUAACGGAGGAGUACGAAGGUGCGCUCAGACCGGUCGGAAAUCGGUCGCAGAGUAUAAAGGCAAAAGCGCGCUUGACUGCGAGACAGACACGUCGAGCAGGUACGAAAGUAGGUCUUAGUGAUCCGGUGGUUCUGUAUGGAAGGGCCAUCGCUCAACGGAUAAAAGGUACUCCGGGGAUAACAGGCUGAUACCGCCCAAGAGUUCAUAUCGACGGCGGUGUUUGGCACCUCGAUGUCGGCUCAUCACAUCCUGGGGCUGAAGCCGGUCCCAAGGGUAUGGCUGUUCGCCAUUUAAAGUGGUACGCGAGCUGGGUUUAGAACGUCGUGAGACAGUUCGGUCCCUAUCUGCCGUGGACGUUUGAGAUUUGAGAGGGGCUGCUCCUAGUACGAGAGGACCGGAGUGGACGAACCUCUGGUGUUCCGGUUGUCACGCCAGUGGCAUUGCCGGGUAGCUAUGUUCGGAAAAGAUAACCGCUGAAAGCAUCUAAGCGGGAAACUUGCCUCAAGAUGAGAUCUCACUGGGAACUUGAUUCCCCUGAAGGGCCGUCGAAGACUACGACGUUGAUAGGCUGGGUGUGUAAGCGUUGUGAGGCGUUGAGCUAACCAGUACUAAUUGCCCGUGAGGCUUGACCAU